CCUACGGGAGGCAGCAGUGAGGAAUAUUGGUCAAUGGACGCAAGUCUGAACCAGCCAUGCCGCGUGCAGGAUGACGGCCCUAUGAGUUGUAAACUGCUUUUGUACGAGGGUAAACCCCGACACGUGUAUCGGGUUGAAAGUACUGUACGAAUAAGGAUCGGCUAACUCCGUGCCAGCAGCCGCGGUAAUACGGAGGAUCCGAGCGUUAUCCGGAUUUAUUGGGUUUAAAGGGUGCGUAGGUGGUUUGAUAAGUUAGAGGUGAAAGGUCGAGGCUCAACCCCGAAACUGCCUCUAAUACUGUUGGACUAGAGAAUAGUUGCGGUAGGCGGAAUGUAUGGUGUAGCGGUGAAAUGCUUAGAGAUCAUACAGAACACCGAUUGCGAAGGCAGCUUACCAAACUGUAUCUGACGUUGAGGCACGAAAGCGUGGGUAGCAAACAGGAUUAGAUACCCUGGUAGUC
Molecule: ribosomal RNA, 460 nt
Filed under: uncultured bacterium
Lineage: Bacteria
Description: partial 16S ribosomal RNA
Rfam family: Bacterial small subunit ribosomal RNA
Source: RNAcentral